UAUUGCACAAUGGGGGAAACCCUGAUGCAGCGACGCCGCGUGAAGGAAGAAGUAUUUCGGUAUGUAAACUUCUAUCAGCAGGGAAGAAAAUGACGGUACCUGACUAAGCAGCCCCGGCUAACUACGUGCCAGCAGCCGCGGUAAUACGUAGGGGGCAAGCGUUAUCCGGAUUUACUGGGUGGAAGGGGAGCGUAGGCGGUGCAGCAAGUCAGAAGUGAAAGCCCGGGGCUCAACUCCGGGACUGCUUUUGAAACUGUUGGACUAGAUUGCAGGAGAGGUAAGUGGAAUUCCUAGUGUAGCGGUGAAAUGCGUAGAUAUUAGGAGGAACACCAGUGGCGAAGGCGGCUUACUGGACUGUAAAUGACGCUGAGGCUCGAAAGCGUGGGGAGCAAACAGGA
Molecule: ribosomal RNA, 398 nt
Filed under: uncultured bacterium
Lineage: Bacteria
Description: bacterial SSU rRNA
Rfam family: Bacterial small subunit ribosomal RNA
Source: RNAcentral